Dipodomys ordii (Ord's kangaroo rat) is the source of this 65-nucleotide non-coding RNA. The record is from Rfam. Lineage: Eukaryota; Metazoa; Chordata; Mammalia; Rodentia; Heteromyidae.
GGUGGCUCAGUGGUAGAGCACUUGCCUUGCAUGCAUGAGGCCCUGGCUUCGAUUCCUCAGCACCA